CCGAUCGAGGGAAAUUAGUACCGAAGUCCGGGAUGGAAGAUGGCGAGAAAAGCUGUGUGUAUUUCUGCGGUGCCCGUACCGCAAACCGACACAGGUAGGUAGGAAGAAGAUUCUAAGGCCAACGGGAGAAGGGUUGUUAAGGAACUCGGCAAAUUGACCCCGUAACUUCGGGAGAAGGGGUGCUCUAGAGAUAGAGCCGCAGAGAGUCGGCCCAAGCAACUGUUUACCAAAAACACAGGUUUGUGCUAAAUCGAAAGAUGACGUAUACGAGCUGACGCCUGCCCGGUGCUGGAAGGUUAAGAGGAGAUGUGCAAGCAUUGAAUCGAAGCCCCAGUGAACGGCGGCCGUAACGAUAACGGUCCUAAGGUAGCGAAAUUCCUUGUCAGGUAAGUUCUGACCCGCAUGAAAGGCGCAAUGAUUUGGGCACUGUCUCGACAGCCCGCCCGGCGAAAUUGUAGUACCGGUGAAGAUGCCGGUUACCCGCGACAAGACGGAAAGACCCCAUGGAGCUUUACUGUAGCCUAAUAUUGGGUUUCGAUGUUGCAUGCACAGGAUAGAUGGGACACUGGGAAGCAAGAGCUUUGGCUUUUGUGGAGUGGCCGUUGGGAUACCAUCCUUGCGAUAUUGGAAUUCUAACCUUCGCCUUUGGAUCAAGGCGGGGGACAUUGUUAGGUGGGCAGUUUGACUGGGGCGGUCGCCUCCUAAAGAGUAACGGAGGCGUUCAAAGGUUCGCUCAGCUUGAACGGAAAUCAAGCAAAAGAGUGCAAACGCAGAAGCGAGCCUAACUGCGAGACUGACGGGUCGAGCAGUAACGAAAGUUGGAGUUAGUGAUCCGGUGGUAUGUGAGUGGAAAUGCCAUCGCUCAACGGAUAAAAGUUACCCUGGGGAUAACAGGCUGAUCUCCCCCAAGAGUCCACAUCGACGGGGAGGUUUGGCACCUCGAUGUCGGCUCAUCGCAUCCUGGGGCUGUAUUCGGUCCCAAGGGUUUGGCUGUUCGCCAAUUAAAGCGGUACGCGAGCUGGGUUCAGAACGUCGUGAGACAGUUCGGUCCCUAUCUGUCGUGGGCGCAGGAUAUUUGAUGGGAGCUGUUCCUAGUACGAGAGGACCGGAGCGGACGUACCUCUGGCGCACCAGUUGUUCUGCCAAGGGCAUAGCUGGGCAACUAUGUACGGAUCGGAUAAACGCUGAAAGCAUCUAAGCGUGAAGCCGACCCAAAGAUAAGAUAUCCCAUUGUUUCAAACAAGUAAGACCCCUUGAAGACUACAAGGUUGAUAGGCAUGAUGUGUAAGUGGAGUGAUCCAUUCAGCAAGCAUGUACUAAUAGGUCGAGGGCUUGACC
This 1338-nucleotide ribosomal RNA is filed under the name metagenome. Its description in RNAcentral is "bacterial LSU rRNA". It matches the Rfam family "Bacterial large subunit ribosomal RNA", at positions 1563 to 2925 of the family's 2925-position model. The record is from RNAcentral.